GGCAAGUCGAGGCGGAUGAUGGGAGCUUGCUCCAUCAUUCAGCGGCGAGAAGGGUGAGUAAUGCCUAGGAAUCUGCCUGGUAGUGGGGGACAACGUUUCGAAAGGAACGCUAAUACCGCAUACGUCCUACGGGAGAAAGCAGGGGACCUUCGGGCCUUGCGCUAUCAGAUGAGCCUAGGUCGGAUUAGCUUGUUGGUGAGGUAAUGGCUCACCAAGGCGACGAUCCGUAACUGGUCUGAGAGGAUGAUCAGUCACACUGGAACUGAGACACGGUCCAGACUCCUACGGGAGGCAGCAGUGGGGAAUAUUGGACAAUGGGCGAAAGCCUGAUCCAGCCAUGCCGCGUGUGUGAAGAAGGUCUUCGGAUUGUAAAGCACUUUAAGUUGGGAGGAAGGGUUGUAGAUUAAUACUCUGCAAUUUUGACGUUACCGACAGAAUAAGCACCGGCUAACUCUGUGCCAGCAGCCGCGGUAAUACAGAGGGUGCAAGCGUUAAUCGGAAUUACUGGGCGUAAAGCGCGCGUAGGUGGUUUGUUAAGUUGGAUGUGAAAGCCCCGGGCUCAACCUGGGAACUGCAUCCAAAACUGGCAAGCUAGAGUACGGUAGAGGGUGGUGGAAUUUCCUGUGUAGCGGUGAAAUGCGUAGAUAUAGGAAGGAACACCAGUGGCGAAGGCGACCACCUGGACUGAUACUGACACUGAGGUGCG
RNAcentral lists this ribosomal RNA (706 nucleotides) under Pseudomonas parafulva. RNAcentral's name for it is "bacterial SSU rRNA". It matches the Rfam family "Bacterial small subunit ribosomal RNA", at positions 56 to 755 of the family's 1533-position model. Lineage: Bacteria; Pseudomonadati; Pseudomonadota; Gammaproteobacteria; Pseudomonadales; Pseudomonadaceae. The record is from RNAcentral.